CACGUAGGGGGCGAGCGUUGUCCGGAUUUAUUGGGCGUAAAGAGCUCGUAGGCGGUUUGGCAAGUCGGGUGUGAAAACUCGAGGCUCAACCUCGAGACGCCACCUGAUACUGCCAUGACUGGAGUCCGGUAGAGGAGUGUGGAAUUCCUGGUGUAGCGGUGAAAUGCGCAGAUAUCAGGAGGAACACCAACGGCGAAGGCAGCACUCUGGGCCGGUACUGACGCUGAGGAGCGAAAGCGUGGGGAGCAAACAGG
Molecule: ribosomal RNA, 254 nt
Filed under: uncultured bacterium
Lineage: Bacteria
Description: partial 16S ribosomal RNA
Rfam family: Bacterial small subunit ribosomal RNA
Source: RNAcentral